AAAAUCAUGAAGAUUUAAAAAUAAAUAAAGAGCGUAAGAUCCAUUUACCUCAAUCAUCUUAGAUUUUUAAUCUUUCUUAAAUGAAUCAGAUAACCCUAUUAAAAUAUUAAAUCACGAUCAAAUUUUAUUCCAUAUAUUCAAUAAAAUUACAUAAUAAAAGAAGAUAACUGACUGGAUGACCAGUCCGAUAAAUUCCCCCCUCCGGCUCUGAAUCGAUUCGGAGUCAUAGGUCCCUAGAGGAGAAAAAGAUGGCAUGAUACUAGAUCUAUAGAUCUUUUUAGAGAGAGAAAAGAGGAGAGAGAAAAUUUUAGAAAGAAAAAUAUAGAGAGAAAGUCCAAUUCUAGAGAGAGAAAGUAAUGGUUUAGAUCGAAGAGAGAGAGAGAGUCACUCUUCUUUUUUUUUCUUUUCUUUUUCUUUUUCUUCCUUCUUUCCGUGGCCUUCUUUGGCAAAACUGGGGACCAAACGGUUCCCUCCCUUUGACCGACCAUCCAGGGCUGCAGCUGGCACGGUGGUGGCCAGUGGCAGGAGGUGUCGAUGGAGCGGCCCAGAGGAACCCAAAGCUGGCGGUUGGCGGUGACCACCGGUGUUGAAAAACUAAAAAAAAAGGGACGGAACAGGGGCUGUCUUCCUAGGCAAAAUUCGAUGACUUCGGUCACCGACGACCGUGCACACUGGCAAGGGAAGGAAGGGAGAGAAGAGAGGAAGAGAGAUUACAGCUUACCUCAAACUCCAAUGACAUCUCCGGCGACAAUUAGGGGCGAGCACAGUGACGGCUUUCACGAGCAAAAUUCCAGCGAUCCCCGCCGUUGGCUCCCGAUUUCUUGUUGGGAGAGGGAGGGAAGAGAUCUCCUCCUUAAAUAGAGCCAAAGAGGAAGGAGUUUGACUCCUCCCCGAGAUUUUUCCGACUCCGAUUAGGAGCCAGUCGGAGGGAAGAAGACUCCCGUGGGGAGUGUCCUUCAAAUUUUUUUUUUUUUGGGCCUGAUCUAAGGCCCAAAUGAGCCGGAUAUUACACAAUAGGUCAUCGUCAACGCAUAACUGGUAAACAAAAGAUUCUGGCCCACAUGCAUGAAAGGAAGAAUAUGAAAGAGAAAGCAGUCAUUUUUUUUCCUUUGCCUUGGUGAAAUGAUCUUGAAAGGUCGAUGACAAUGACCGUGCGUGAGAAAAACUGAACCAUAUAGACCCACUGGAUUUAAACUCCUACUAAUCUGACGUGAAAUUUUUAGUUGAG
Molecule: long non-coding RNA, 1228 nt
Filed under: Elaeis guineensis (African oil palm)
Lineage: Eukaryota; Viridiplantae; Streptophyta; Magnoliopsida; Arecales; Arecaceae
Description: long non-coding RNA (EGUI_LNC022636)
Source: RNAcentral